This 5942-nucleotide long non-coding RNA is filed under the name Homo sapiens (human). RNAcentral describes it as "HSALNT0343490". The record is from RNAcentral. Lineage: Eukaryota; Metazoa; Chordata; Mammalia; Primates; Hominidae.
UCGUUACCCGAGCCCAGCGCCGGGCCAAUGUCCUAUCUCAGGGUUUCCCACGUCGCUCGCUCCUUGACGGCUGACCGACACUGGGUCUGAGGUGUAAGCGCUUUCCAGGCCCUUCCCUGGGGCUUGGAGGGGAAUGGCGCAAAGGACUUUUCUUACAAGCAGAGCCACUGCAGUUACCAAAGAGUAUGUCGCUUAUUGUCUAAGAGGUUGGACUCCUGAAAGCCUGGACAGUGUCAUCAUCUUCACCUGAAGAGUGGAAAAAUUCAAGCAAAGAGUUUCUCAGGAAAUGACCAAGUAAAACAUCUGGAGUAAGUCAGCAGGAUUCACAGUGACUCCCCCCAACCAGCUGGUGGUGUUUCUCUCUGAAAGCAGCGCUUGGUACCAGUGUGAACUCUCUUCCUUCAGAAGUCUCAUCAGGUGGACGUAAUACGAGGGUCUGGUCCCCCAUACCUUGAGGACUCCGCUGCCAUCUGACAAUUACAGACAAUCCAAUUGUCCUCAUCCUUGAGGACUCUGCUGCCAUCUGACAAUUAGAGACAGUCCAAAACAUGCCACACUUUGAUCCUAAACACAUUCCUGGCUUUGGUCACUUUUGAAAAGUUCCUGAGUUAUGAGAAAUCAAUAAUAAGAGUGUUCAAAACCUGAACACUCUUUUUAGAAAUACCUGCUGGAACUACAUAUAUGAUUUAUGGGGUACUGUCUUGUAGUAUCUGGGAAAGUAGACCCAUCUAACCUGGAAUGAUCAUAGGCAACAAUGACCAAAAAUGGGGAUCUUUUGAUAUACCUAAAGUAAUUUAUUUGUGCACACCAUUGGAAAGAGCUGGUUUUAGAACCAGACAUGUAAAUAAGAGACUGACUUCCACUGGCACCUAAAAACUUCUAAAAGAAAUCCUGAAAGAAAAAGUCACCUUCAUUCAAGAGUACCGCAGAACAGAGAGACCCUCUCUCUCAAAACAACAAACAAGGGCUGGGCGCGGUGGCUCAAGCCUGUAAUCCCAGCACUUUGGGUGGCCAAGGCAAGCAGAUCACGAGGUCAGGAGAUCGACACUGUCCUGGCUAAUACGGUGAAACCCCGUCUCUACUAAAAAUACAAAAAAUUAGCUAGGCGUGGUGGCAGGUGCCUGUAGUCCCAGCUACUCGGGAGGCUGAGGCAGGAGAAUGGUGUGAACCUGGGACGCGGAGCUUGCAGUGAGCCGAGAUCGUACCACUGCAUUCCAGCCUGGGUGACAGAGCGAGACUCCAUCUCAAAAACAAACAAACAAAAAUGAGAUUCAACCUCCUCCCAUCUCUCUGCUGUCUUCAGUACCACAUGAAAAGAUCUAGAGGAGACUUCUAAUGACUCAGACCCCUAAAGGAAGACAGAAAAAGCUGCCUCUCACUCCCUUUCUGGGGUCUUCUGUCUUCCUGUGGAGUGUGAAGAGUCAUGGAGAGAUUUCAUGACAGUUUCCAGCACAAAACUCUGCUCUCUUUUGUAUCGUGUCGCCUGAUCCCUUUGACUUUUAGGAGUACUGGAUAUUACUUUGUUCUGUGAGAGAACACUUAACCUUUGUGUAUGUGAUGGCUGGCAAGUUACUGGAGGUGGCUGACAGCAGUUGUUUACAGUGAAUGGUUAUUAUUAUUACUACAGGGAGUUACUGGUUUCUUUGCUGGUUAAGAUAAGAAAGGCACGGUUUAAAUACUUAGAGAAAUGUUUUUGUAUUGAAGUACACCAUGAAAGUGUUGCAUAGCCCAGUCCCAUGGAGUUUCCCUCUUUUUGGGGACCCAGGAUUCAGCCUAAAAAUGGAAUCCUUAAUUUAUAAAGCUCUAGAUGCUCUGCCUUCAAUUGCAUCUGCUUUUCACAUAUUUAAAUUAUUAGGCUCUAAAAACUGUAAAUGCUUUGAUGGCCCUGCUCCUUAAUGGGCUCUGCCCUGAGCUCAGUGAUCCAACUGGAAAACAGACUAAAUUAAAAGCUACUUAUCUAAGUGAAAUAGGUCUCCUUAUAAAAUCCAAUGAUAGAUUCCUGUGAUUUUGUAUUACCUUGGCAUCCAUUUUUAAUUUUCUUCCAACACACCCAAACUCCUCCUUGAAAAGGCUUAAAUUCUUUCUCCUUGUACUUUGAGAUAUAAAGUUACUACUGCAUUUUCUCUAAAACUCAGUACGAGCUUCAGCCAUGUGGAACAGAUAAACUUUAAACUUUUCCAUUUACAAAGGUACAGUUUGAAUCCAACUGUCCUUGUAAAACUAGUGAGUUUUACCAGUCUCAUGACUAAAAUUUUUUUCUCUGCUUGGUUUUGUUUUGUUUUUCUUACCUCAGUUCACCAGCAGUUUCAAUGUGGCUAAAAUUUUUUAAUUAAAGCUAUGAAGUCAUUAUCUGUGUCUGUCUGAUUUAUGUGUACCAUGUAUACAUGUCUGUUUAUAUAUUGUCUACAUGGUACCACUGACUUAUAGAAAACGUGCUCAUAAAUAAUAUAACCAACCCAAAUGCUUUCCAUGGUCACUUGACUUUAGUAAUCUUGGGUUUAAAUUAAGAUAGUUUUUAAAUUAUUGGUAAAGUAAAAUAGAAACGUCUUCAAAUUUUAAUUUAGACAUGUUUGCCUAGAUCUAUUGGUUAGACUGGUUUAUACUGUCUCUGCUAAAUGUCUUAAGGUCAUAAGGCCAUUGCUUUUAUGGUAUUUUUUGGUAUUUGCUUAAUUUGUCUAUGAGCUUAUGUCUUUGGAUUUGAGCCUUUAGAUUCUGAGGACUAGACAAGUGGCCCUGGGGACAGUGCCUGGGCCCCAUCAUCCCUAGUUGAGCUGUGCCUCUUGGCUUUACUGCAAGGAGUUGGAUCCUCCAGGCAUUGUCUCCAUAGCACUGUCAUUUGUCCUGAGCUCUGCAUACGGUACAUAAAGUUGCUUACUUCUUAGGUUUUUCACUGAAAAUUAGGGUUACUAAGAGUUAACAUUGUGGUUAAUAUAUGUAACUAAAACUACUAGGCCAGAAAUUUACAUAGAGAGCAUAUAAAGAAGAUGUAAAGAAAGUUGAAAAGGGUAAUUUUUUUCCUUUACGUAAGAGGGGACUUUGGUCAAAAUGAUAAGGGGGAUAGUAAAUCUUUGUCCUAAGUAGAAUACCAAUAUAAGAAAAAUGAAGUAUAGGACAAAACUGAAGGUGUAAGCAAGUUGUAAAAGGUUUGUAUAAGAUUAAUCUCAUGAAAAGAAUUUUGUAUGUGAUAAAGUUGGCUAAAAUUAGAAGGAGAUUAUUAACUUUUCUAAAAAUUAUGCAUUGAUAUUUAAAGCACACUGAUGUGGGACCCCUGUUUCAGAAUAACAGGGCUUUCUUGGAGCAUUAAUCUGCUCUUUAAUAGAAAAAUUUUUAAAGGUUAUAGAAAUUUUAUGCAGUUAAAACUGAGGGCUAGAUGCGGUGGCUCACACCUGUAAUCCCAGCACUUUGGAAGGGUGAGGUGGGCAGAUCACCUGAGGUCAGGAGUUUGAGACCAGCCUGGCCAACAUGGUGAAACACCAUCUCUACUAAAAAUACAAAAAUUAGCUGGGUAUGGUGAUAGGUGCCUGUAAUCCCAGCUACUUGGGAGGCUGAGGCAGGAGAAUCACUUGAACCCGGGAGGCAGAGGUUGCAGUGAGCUGAGAUCAGGUCAUUGCACUCCAGCCUGGGUAACAAGAGUGAGACUCCAUCUAAAACAAACAAACAAACAAACAAACAAAAAACAAAAAAAAAUACCUGCCUGAGAUUUGAUAGAUUUGUUUAUAAGGAUUUAAUGAAAUUAGCCUUAGGAUUAAUAAUAUACUGAUGCAAAAGUAAAAUUUGGUUUUCUCUUUUGAAUAAGAUUUUUAAGUAUUUUUAAGAAACAGUAAAAAAAAGUUCACCUUUUAAGUAAAAAAAAAAAAUGGGAAAGAGAGAUUCUGUUGGUCUCAUGCCGUCUUUAUAAGGUCUUUGGAUUGUUUGGAAAACCGAGUUUACUCUCUAUCAAAGAGUAAAGGGUUUUGCUUUUUGCAAUCUUUGAAUUAUCACUUUGGCUAAAUGAAUGAAUACUAUUUUACAGUGACUUAUGAUCCUAUUUGGUCAAAUAUUUUAAACUUUUAAAUUGGACAUACUUCCUAAAAUCAAAUUUCAAAUUCUAAAAUUAAGUAUUUUCCAAAAGGAACCUCUGGAAGUCCAAGAGAGGAAUAUUAGGCAUAUUUAGCAUGUUAAAAUCAUAUGGAAAGCAUUGUCAAAGAAAUAAUGGUGUUUAACUUUCUUUGAGUUAUAUUAGGAUGAAUGUGUUUUGUAUGAGAUUCCUAAAAUUUUAAUGUGUCUUGGUAUAUGUUAUCAGUCAUAAUUAUGAUUAUUAUGUUAAACUGUUGUAAACCACAGGAAUAACCAAAUUUCCUUGUCAAUUGCAUCUUUAACCAUGGCUAUUCUAAGUCUUUUGCUAUCUAAAACAAUUAGUUUUAUUUCUCUUCUCAUAAAGCAGUUACAAUUGUCUAUAAUUCAAAAUUUGCUUUUUCUUCAAGGAAAUUCAUAGAAUAGGACCCUGACAAGUACUCUUGAAUACAGGUUUCUGAUAACUUUGGAGAUCAUAUCAUUGGACUAAGUAACAACUUUCAGGUAUGUAAUAAACUGAUGUGUUCCUUAGAUUGCUAACUCAACAUCAAGCAGAACACGAAUUAAUUACAUGUGACUGAACUGACAGAAGACUGAAAAGAUUUGCUGACUUUUUAUUUAAAACAUUGCUGGUUUUUUUUUUUAUUUUGUCUUCCAGAGUCAAGAAAACUUUUUUUCCUUGAGCUAUUUAUUUAUACUUUAUAACAAUUGGGUAAAAAUACCUUUGUGAACAACAUUGAAACAUCUGCCUUUCUCUCUACCUGAUUACUCCAAAAUUUGGAAACUAUUCAUGAGUACUCUUAUUUUAUGGCAAUCUAGUUAUUUGCAUACAUUUAAUAAGAAUCUUUUUUCUGUAACAGGAUAUAAUUGGAGACACUUGUUAUUUUACUAAGGAUUUGACUGGAAUGACAUAUUUUCAGAUAUGACCAGACUGCUUUGAAGAAUGGAGGUUGACUCUAUAGAGGCAAUUAGAAAGCCUCUUGGAAAGACUGGCCUGGUCCCUUGUCUACGUAGUUCCCUUUCAAGAUUUCUGUCCUGUGUUAAGUAAAGAAUGUCACUUUCUGACAGGCCUGGGAACCUCAAAAUAUUUCCGCUGUGUAUCUCUCAUUGUUUUAUUUCUUCUGAGAAAACUAAAUUCAUGGUACACUGAAGAGGUGAUUCCACAAGUGAUGGCAGCUAUAAAUCAAUGACUGGUAGGACUACCUGGGCAUGAGCCUUUCUGGCAAUGAGGGAUACCUUGACACUCAGAUUUUGAUCAUCAGUGCUUUCAAAAGGAAAGAUUUUUGAUCAAAAGGAAGAAAUGAGAAAAAGAACUUUUAUCUGAAGAAUGCAAGUCCUUUCCAAUUAUCAGAUCCAGAGAGGUAUUAAAAUGAGACGGCAAUCCUGUCCUACACACACCCCCUUUUGAGGCAUGUACUCAUCUUUUUAUACUGCUUACUAUUGCCACAAGUAGCUGAAAAUUAGCCUACUGGUGCUGCACCAGACAUUAUAACCCAUAUCCUAUAGCUUAAUAAUGGAUAGCCAAUCAACAGCUUAUGUUAUGUUAAUGUAAAUUAUUGGUAAAUAACUCAGGAACUGCCUCUUCUUUCCUUUUAAAAACCCACUUGUGGGCCGGGCGUGGUGGCUCACGCCUGUAAUCCCAGCAUUUUGGGAGGCCAAGGUGGGCGGAUCACAAGGUGAGGAGAUCAAGACCAUCCUGGAUAACACAGUGAAACCCUGUCUCUACUAAAAAUACAAAAAAUUAGCCGGGCGUGGUGGCGGGCACCUGUAGUCCCAGCUACUCGGGAGGCUGAGGCAGGAGAAAGGCGUGAACCCAGGAAGCAGAGCUUGCAGUGAGCUGACAUGGCACCACUGCACUCCAGCCCGGGCAACAGUGCGAGGCCCUGUCU